This 117-nucleotide ribosomal RNA is filed under the name Clostridium sp. JN-9. The record is from RNAcentral. Lineage: Bacteria; Bacillati; Bacillota; Clostridia; Eubacteriales; Clostridiaceae.
UCUGGUAAUAAUGGCGUGAAGGUAACACCCGUUCCCAUUCCGAACACGAAGGUUAAGCUUCAUUGCGCCGAUGGUACUGCAGGGGAGGCUCUGUGGGAGAGUAGGUAGUUGCCAGGU